Molecule: unclassified non-coding RNA, 334 nt
Filed under: soil metagenome
Description: partial contains 5.8S ribosomal RNA, internal transcribed spacer 2, and large subunit ribosomal RNA
Rfam family: 5.8S ribosomal RNA (bases 1-120)
Source: RNAcentral
GAUGAAGAACGUAGCGAAAUGCGAUAAGUAAUGUGAAUUGCAGAAUUCAGUGAAUCAUCGAAUCUUUGAACGCACAUUGCGCCCGCCAGUAUUCUGGCGAGCAUGCCUGUUCGAGCGUCAUUUCAACCAUCAAGCCCCAGGCUUGUGUUGGAGCCCUGCGGCUGCCGCAGCCUCCCAAAACCAGUGGCGGGCUCGCUAUCACACCGAGUGCAGUAGUUUACUCUUCGCUCAGGGCGUGUGGCGGGUGCUAGCCGUGAAACCCCCAACUUCACAAGGUUGACCUCGGAUCAGGUAGGAAUACCCGCUGAACUUAAGCAUAUCAAUAAGCGGAGGA